Molecule: non-coding RNA, 62 nt
Filed under: Homo sapiens (human)
Lineage: Eukaryota; Metazoa; Chordata; Mammalia; Primates; Hominidae
Source: RNAcentral
CGACACUUGAAUGCACUUGCGGCCUGGGUUCCUCCCAGGGCUAUGCCUGUCUGAGCGUCGCU